GAUGAACGCUGGCGGCGUGCCUAAUACAUGCAAGUCGAGCGAACAGACGAGGAGCUUGCUCCUCUGACGUUAGCGGCGGACGGGUGAGUAACACGUGGAUAACCUACCUAUAAGACUGGGAUAACUUCGGGAAACCGGAGCUAAUACCGGAUAAUAUAUUGAACCGCAUGGUUCAAUAGUGAAAGACGGUUUUGCUGUCACUUAUAGAUGGAUCCGCGCCGCAUUAGCUAGUUGGUAAGGUAACGGCUUACCAAGGCGACGAUGCGUAGCCGACCUGAGAGGGUGUUUGCCCACACUAGAACAGUGCCACGCUCGAGCCACCUGCGGGAGUCCGAGCUAGGGAUGCUCCCCUAAGGGCGGAAUUCCUGAGGGACCACCCCCGAGGAAUUAAUGAGGGUCUCCGAACCUGAAACCUUGUUUUUGGGGAAAAAACAUAUGUUUAAUUACCUGUGCGUCUCGGCCCGGUUCCUAUACGAAAACCCCCGUCUACCUAGUUG
Molecule: ribosomal RNA, 497 nt
Filed under: uncultured bacterium
Lineage: Bacteria
Description: partial 16S ribosomal RNA
Rfam family: Bacterial small subunit ribosomal RNA
Source: RNAcentral